RNAcentral lists this ribosomal RNA (329 nucleotides) under uncultured eukaryote. RNAcentral's name for it is "partial 18S ribosomal RNA". It matches the Rfam family "Eukaryotic small subunit ribosomal RNA", at positions 1470 to 1796 of the family's 1831-position model. The record is from RNAcentral.
CCCUUAGAUGUUCUGGGCCGCACGCGCGCUACACUGAUGCAUUCAACGAGUCUAAAACCUGCUCUGAUAGGGGUGGGUAAUCUUUUGAAUGUGCAUCGUGAUUGGGAUAGAUGAUUGCAAUUUUUCAUCUUCAACGAGGAAUGCCUAGUAAACGCAAGUCAUCAGCUUGCAUUGAUUACGUCCUUGCCCUUUGUACGCACCGCCCGUCGCCCCUACCGAUUGAAUGAUCCGAUGAAUAUCAUGGAUUGAGGAUGCAAGCAGGUUCGCCUGUCUUCAUCUUCGAGAAGUGAAGUAAAUCUUAUCAUUUAGAGGAAGGAGAAGUCGCAACA